UACGUAGGGGGCAAGCGUUGUCCGGAUUCAUUGGGCGUAAAGAGCGUGUAGGCGGCCCGGUAAGUCCGCUGUAAAAGUCAAAGGCUCAACCUUUGAAUGUCAGUGGAUACUGCCGGGCUAGAGUCCGGAAGAGGCGAGUGGAACUCCUGGUGUAGCGGUGGAAUGCGCAGAUAUCAGGAAGAACACCUAUGGCGAAGGCAGCUCUCUGGGACGGUACUGACGCUGAGACGCGAAAGCGUGGGGAGCGAACAGG
RNAcentral lists this ribosomal RNA (253 nucleotides) under uncultured bacterium. Its description in RNAcentral is "partial 16S ribosomal RNA". It matches the Rfam family "Bacterial small subunit ribosomal RNA", at positions 524 to 776 of the family's 1533-position model. The record is from RNAcentral.